CCGCCCGUAGUUCAACUGGAUAGAACAACUGCCUCCUACGCAGUACGCCAUCGACGGCCCUGGUUGCUGGUUCGAGUCCAGCCGGGCGGACCA
This 93-nucleotide transfer RNA is filed under the name Hydrogenophaga aromaticivorans. RNAcentral's name for it is "tRNA-Arg". It matches the Rfam family "tRNA". From Rfam's summary of the family: Transfer RNA (tRNA) molecules are approximately 80 nucleotides in length. Their secondary structure includes four short double-helical elements and three loops (D, anti-codon, and T loops). Further hydrogen bonds mediate the characteristic L-shaped molecular structure. tRNAs have two regions of fundamental functional importance: the anti-codon, which is responsible for specific mRNA codon recognition, and the 3' end, to which the tRNAs corresponding amino acid is attached (by aminoacyl-tRNA synthetases). tRNAs cope with the degeneracy of the genetic code in two manners: having more than one tRNA (with a specific anti-codon) for a particular amino acid; and 'wobble' base-pairing, i.e. permitting non-standard base-pairing at the 3rd anti-codon position. The record is from RNAcentral. Lineage: Bacteria; Pseudomonadati; Pseudomonadota; Betaproteobacteria; Burkholderiales; Comamonadaceae.